UCGUACAAAAAUGUGAGGGGCAUGCGAGGGCUGUCGCUGACUCAAAGUCGUGCACGCCCGGGUGUGUCCCCUCACAUAAUAAUCCAUCUCACCCUUUGUGCAUCACCGCGUGGGCACCCUUUGGGAUCAUCUCGGAGGGGGCUCGCGUUUUCACACAAACCCCCCUUUUAAAAAGUGUAGAAUGUCCUCAUUUAUGCGCUAACCCGCAAUCAAUAC
This 216-nucleotide unclassified non-coding RNA is filed under the name Lactarius sphagneti. RNAcentral describes it as "internal transribed spacer 1". Lineage: Eukaryota; Fungi; Basidiomycota; Agaricomycetes; Russulales; Russulaceae. The record is from RNAcentral.